Molecule: ribosomal RNA, 468 nt
Filed under: uncultured bacterium
Lineage: Bacteria
Description: partial 16S ribosomal RNA
Rfam family: Bacterial small subunit ribosomal RNA
Source: RNAcentral
GAUGAACGCUGGCGGCGUGCUUAACACAUGCAAGUCGAACGGUGAAGCCGGAGCUUGCUCUGCUGGAUCAGUGGCGAACGGGUGAGUAACACGUGAGCAAUCUGCCCCUGACUCUGGGAUAAGCGCUGGAAAAGGCGUCUAAUACUGGAUACGAGCUGCGAAGGCAUCUUCAGCAGCUGGAAAGAAUUUCGUUCAAGGAUGAGCUCGCGGCCUAUCAGCUUGUUGGUGAGGUAAUGGCUCACCAAGGCGUCGACGGGUAGCCGGCCUGAGAGGGUGACCGGCCACACAGGGACAGGGACACGGCCCAGACUCCUACGGGAGGCAGCAGUGAGAAAUAUUGCACGAUAGGCGAAAGCCUGAUGCAGCAACGCCGCGUGAGGGACGACGGCCUUCGGGUUGUAAACCACUUUUAGCAGGGAAGAAGCGAAAGUGACGGUACCUGCAGAAAAAGCGCCGGCUAACUACGUG